RNAcentral lists this long non-coding RNA (1001 nucleotides) under Monodelphis domestica (gray short-tailed opossum). RNAcentral describes it as "lncRNA (ENSMODG00000048813.1)". Lineage: Eukaryota; Metazoa; Chordata; Mammalia; Didelphimorphia; Didelphidae. The record is from RNAcentral.
CGCCUGCGGGCGCUCCUCCACCUCCUUUCCACUGGACGUUUCUUAUCUCUGUGUCUCUCCCUCGAAGUCUUGUCUCCCUCUCUAUCUCCCUUUCUCUCUGUGUCUUUGCCGGUUUCUAUCUCCCUUUCUAUCUCUAUCUGGGUGUCUGUCUCUGCCUCUCUUGGUCUUCGAUUUCUCUUUCUCUUUUUUUGGUCUCUGUAUCUAUCUCUGUACCCCUGCCUCUCUGUUUUCCUCUUUCUUGCUCUCUCGCAUUCUCCCUGCUUCUGUCUAUUACUCUCUGUAUCUCUCUGACUUUGUGUCUAUUUCUCUCUCUGACUUGCUGUGUCUCUUCCUCUCUGUCUCUAAUAUCUCUGUCCCUGGCUCUUCCUCUCUGUGGCUUUGUGUCUCAGUCUUUCUUCUCUCUAUCUCUGUCUCUCUUUGCCACUCUGUAUCCCUCUCUGUCUCACACAUUCUUUGUUAUGUCUUUCAUUCUCUUUCUCCUCUCCUCUCUUUCACAUUCUCUGUAUCUUCCCUCCUUCCCAUCCUUUGUGUCCGUCUCUGUCUUUCUCUUUUCCCCCUCACUCUUUCUAUUUCUGCCUUUCUCUUUCUCUGUGUCCCUCUCCUUCCCCUUUCCCACCAUUGAAAUCUUAACAGACUUUGACCCAUCUCCAGCUGCACAGACAGCUCUGUCCUAAGGGAAACAGUUUAUACCAAACUUGGCUUCUGGCCACCUUGAGCUCACUGUCUGGGAAAGAGUAUGACCCCCAACAAAGACCCUGUAGCACAUGAUGACCUAGGAUCAGGGGGUAGAGUAGCUCAACAACCCUGCCACAACCCACCAACCAAAACCCGAAAUAGCAGGCAGGAGGAGAUUUGUGUGAGAGGAGCAUGUAGGGAAAACAAUUAUGUUACAGGGAUAUUUUACAGUUUUAGGCUUUUCUUUGUAAAGAGUGAUGGAGUUUAUUGCAUCCAGUUUACUCUUAUUUAUUUAUUCAUUUUUAAACUCUUACCUUCAAUCUUAG